This 637-nucleotide ribosomal RNA is filed under the name Enterococcus faecalis. RNAcentral describes it as "bacterial SSU rRNA". It matches the Rfam family "Bacterial small subunit ribosomal RNA", at positions 1 to 608 of the family's 1533-position model. The record is from RNAcentral. Lineage: Bacteria; Bacillati; Bacillota; Bacilli; Lactobacillales; Enterococcaceae.
UUAUUAUGAGAGUUUGAUCCUGGCUCAGGACGAACGCUGGCGGCGUGCCUAAUACAUGCAAGUCGAACGCUUCUUUCCUCCCGAGUGCUUGCACUCAAUUGGAAAGAGGAGUGGCGGACGGGUGAGUAACACGUGGGUAACCUACCCAUCAGAGGGGGAUAACACUUGGAAACAGGUGCUAAUACCGCAUAACAGUUUAUGCCGCAUGGCAUAAGAGUGAAAGGCGCUUUCGGGUGUCGCUGAUGGAUGGACCCGCGGUGCAUUAGCUAGUUGGUGAGGUAACGGCUCACCAAGGCCACGAUGCAUAGCCGACCUGAGAGGGUGAUCGGCCACACUGGGACUGAGACACGGCCCAGACUCCUACGGGAGGCAGCAGUAGGGAAUCUUCGGCAAUGGACGAAAGUCUGACCGAGCAACGCCGCGUGAGUGAAGAAGGUUUUCGGAUCGUAAAACUCUGUUGUUAGAGAAGAACAAGGACGUUAGUAACUGAACGUCCCCUGACGGUAUCUAACCAGAAAGCCACGGCUAACUACGUGCCAGCAGCCGCGGUAAUACGUAGGUGGCAAGCGUUGUCCGGAUUUAUUGGGCGUAAAGCGAGCGCAGGCGGUUUCUUAAGUCUGAUGUGAAAGCCCCCGGC